AUUGAACGCUGGCGGCAGGCCUAACACAUGCAAGUCGAGCGGAUGAAGGGAGCUUGCUCCUGGAUUCAGGGGCGGACGGGUGAGUAAUGCCUAGGAAUCUGCCUGGUAGUGGGGGAUAACGUCCGGAAACGGGCGCUAAUACCGCAUACGUCCCGAGGGAGAAAGUGGGGGAUCUUCGGGCCUCACGCUAUCAGAUGAGCCUAGGUCGGAUUAGCUAGUUGGUGGGGUAAAGGCCUACCAAGGCGACGAUCCGUAACUGGUCUGAGAGGAUGAUCAGUCACACUGGAACUGAGACACGGUCCAGACUCCUACGGGAGGCAGCAGUGGGGAAUAUUGGACAAUGGGCGAAAGCCUGAUCCAGCCAUGCCGCGUGUGUGAAGAAGGUCUUCGGAUUGUAAAGCACUUUAAGUUGGGAGGAAGGGCAGUAAGUUAAUACCUUGCUGUUUUGACGUUACCAACAGAAUAAGCACCGGCUAACUUCGUG
This 484-nucleotide ribosomal RNA is filed under the name uncultured bacterium. Its description in RNAcentral is "partial 16S ribosomal RNA". It matches the Rfam family "Bacterial small subunit ribosomal RNA", at positions 30 to 507 of the family's 1533-position model. The record is from RNAcentral.